Molecule: ribosomal RNA, 465 nt
Filed under: Vreelandella stevensii
Lineage: Bacteria; Pseudomonadati; Pseudomonadota; Gammaproteobacteria; Oceanospirillales; Halomonadaceae
Description: partial 16S ribosomal RNA
Rfam family: Bacterial small subunit ribosomal RNA
Source: RNAcentral
CCUACGGGUGGCUGCAGUGGGGAAUAUUGGACAAUGGGCGAAAGCCUGAUCCAGCCAUGCCGCGUGUGUGAAGAAGGCCUUCGGGUUGUAAAGCACUUUCAGUGGGGAAGAAAGCCUUGGGGCUAAUACCCUCGAGGAAGGACAUCACCCACAGAAGAAGCACCGGCUAACUCCGUGCCAGCAGCCGCGGUAAUACGGAGGGUGCGAGCGUUAAUCGGAAUUACUGGGCGUAAAGCGCGCGUAGGCGGUCUGAUAAGCCGGUUGUGAAAGCCCCGGGCCCAACCUGGGAACGGCAUCCGGAACUGUCAGGCUAGAGUGCAGGAGAGGAAGGUAGAAUUCCCGGUGUAGCGGUGAAAUGCGUAGAGAUCGGGAGGAAUACCAGUGGCGAAGGCGGCCUUCUGGACUGACACUGACGCUGAGGUGCGAAAGCGUGGGUAGCAAACAGGAUUAGAUACCCGUGUAGUC